Salvia miltiorrhiza (redroot sage) is the source of this 1371-nucleotide long non-coding RNA. RefSeq lists it as uncharacterized. The record is from RefSeq and is a predicted model, not a curated record. NCBI's taxonomy places the organism in Eukaryota, Viridiplantae, Streptophyta, Magnoliopsida, Lamiales, Lamiaceae. The transcript has 3 exons.
ACCGGUUUUGACUAAAAAUCGGUUUCGUAGCCUAAAAAACCGGUUUCGUAGAUAUAACCGGUUUCUUUUAUAAAAAAAAAGCGCUAAUAGAAACCGGUAUUUUAUUACCGGUUUCUUUGUUGUGGUGUCGUAGUUAUAUUACGAAACCGAUUUUACUUAAACUCUAUCAAACCGGUUAAAAACCGAUUUUAUAGCCUAUUUUCAAUUUAUUUUACUGUAAGAUAUUAAAAAUAAAAAAAGGUAAAGUUAUGAAUUAGAUUUCAGCCCUAGAGCCAACCUAUCAUUCCCAGCCACCUCCAUCUUCUUUCCAAUCCUCUCCCCGACCUCCCUGCGCCACCCUACUCCGGGCGACUCAACAACUUCCCUAUGCCGCCUCCAUAUCUUUUCCCCCGCCAUUUUAUCGGCCGACGCAACAUCUCGUGCCUCUCUCAUGUGGUGUUGCUUCUCAAUGUUUCAGCCCCUAACUCUCGAACCCUAGGUGGUCGCCGCUGCUCCUAUCACCUUCGGUCACCCCAUGGCGCCUCGGAGCCGCUCCGCCGUUGACUCCAUCGCUCCGCCACCUGACUCUCAGUGAGAUCCACCCAGCCAUUUUACUCGAUUGAGAAGCCCGAGGCGCGAGCUCUCCUUUCUCCAAGCCGGCUCAAGUCUGCGAUUUCUCUACGAUUUCAAUCCGAGGUACUGGUUUUUGGUGUCUUCACCAACGUAUCUCUGUCUCUCUCUCUUGUUCUUUUCUGUCUAUUGUUCUUAGUCGAGGGAGGUAAAUUUUUCAUUCUCUAUGACUAGUUAGUGUUCCCUAAUUAGAAUGGAUGAACUCGUGAACUACGUGGGAAGACGAAUCCAUUACAAUUACUACAAGGCAAUUAUAUUAUUAUGAACUAUGAGCAAAGUUACAGAUACGCAGAGCAUAUUAAAUUAUGUUUGUUUCUUGAACUAGUUGCAUUUGGAAUAUAGUGUGUGUGUGAGUGCAUUGCUUAUGAGAAACUAUUUACCACUGCUCUUUAUCUUAACUCAGGUGAAGCUGCAGAAACUAGGUGUUGUCGCGUCGAUCAUUAGGGAGGAUUACUCGAGGAGGUGGUUUUAGGGUAUACUUGUUGUGAUGCUUGUGGAAGAUUGUUUGUUAAGGAAAACUAUUGCCCUCUCUGUAUAAAGGUAAUACGACAAUGCUAGCUUGAAUGCAGAAGGGAGAAAUGCCAUAUGUAGUUGAAAAAGUUGGUAUUCGAAGAACAUUGCAUCUUUAGAAUUUGUUUUUGAAACUUUUUAUUAGAUUUUGUAAAAUUGUUAGGUUCACAUUUGAGAUUUUGUGCAAGACAUUUUAAAAUUGUAAUGAAUAUUGAUGAUAAUUGAUUAUAUGAAAUUUAUAUUCUCUGUUUA